This 396-nucleotide ribosomal RNA is filed under the name uncultured bacterium. RNAcentral's name for it is "bacterial SSU rRNA". It matches the Rfam family "Bacterial small subunit ribosomal RNA", at positions 29 to 408 of the family's 1533-position model. The record is from RNAcentral.
AACGAACGCUGGCGGCGUGCCUAACACAUGCAAGUCGCGCGAGAAAGUGGGGGCAACUCCAUGAGUAAAGCGGCGCACGGGUGAGUAAUACGUAGGUAACCUGCCCUCGAGACCGGGAUAACCUUCCGAAAGGAGGGCUAAUACCGGAUAAGACCACGAAGUUUCGGUCUUCGGGGUCGAAAGGUGGCCUCUGCAUGCAAGCUAUCACUCGAAGAUGGGCCUGCGCACCAUUAGCAGUUGGCGAGGUAACGGCUCACCAAGGCGAAGAUGGUUAGCUGGUCUGAGAGGAUGACCAGCCACACUGGGACUGAGACACGGCCCAGACUCCUACGGGAGGCAGCAGUGGGGAAUAUUGGACAAUGGGGAAACCCUGAUCCAGCGACGCCGCGUGGGUGA